UACGGAGGGUGCAAGCGUUACUCGGAAUCACUGGGCGUAAAGAGCGCGUAGGCGGGGUAGUAAGUCAGAUGUGAAAUCCUAUGGCUUAACCAUAGAACUGCAUUUGAAACUACUACUCUAGAGUAUGGGAGAGGUAGGUGGAAUUCUUGGUGUAGGGGUAAAAUCCGUAGAGAUCAAGAGGAAUACUCAUUGCGAAGGCGACCUGCUGGAACAUUACUGACGCUGAUGCGCGAAAGCGUGGGGAGCAAACAGG
This 253-nucleotide ribosomal RNA is filed under the name uncultured bacterium. RNAcentral's name for it is "partial 16S ribosomal RNA". It matches the Rfam family "Bacterial small subunit ribosomal RNA", at positions 524 to 776 of the family's 1533-position model. The record is from RNAcentral.